This is an RNA transcript of Olea europaea var. sylvestris, 2394 nucleotides long. RefSeq lists it as uncharacterized. The transcript is spliced from 3 exons. NCBI's taxonomy places the organism in Eukaryota, Viridiplantae, Streptophyta, Magnoliopsida, Lamiales, Oleaceae. The record is from RefSeq and is a predicted model, not a curated record.
UUUGGGCUCAAAAUUGACCCAUUUCAACCAUUUUUCCAACACCUCCAUGGCCCACGCUCAAGAGAAAACGGAUGGUGAGGGCUGCUAAUCUUGCCGAUUCUGGACAUUCAAUUUCAACAUCUUCACAUCAACAUUGCAAGGUGAAUAAUGCAGGUAUUUGGAAGCCUAAAAACCCACUUAUACUUUACAGGUAUUUAUGUUGGGAAAAAAGGAUGAGAAUUUUGGGAGGGUAUGUUUGUCUUUGUGUAAUAGUUAAAUGUUCAUAAGAGAUUACACAUGUUUAGAACCUUUACAAGAAAGGAAAACAAAAUUGCCUAUUUUAUGACAAAAUAAUUGGAAUUUGUUUUGUAUCUUUAGGCAAGGGUAUUCACCCCAAGAAUGAGUAAUCCACUGUUUCACGAGAAUAGCAAAAUUACACCUGAAGCACAUGUUAUUAUGCAUUUUAAAGGAUAAACUAAUAGUCCACUACAUUAGGUUUCAAGCUUUAUUUGCUAGUAUUGCUCCUAUCAUCUACUUAAUUGCUAAAAGAGUCCUGUCCUGUGGUAGAUUUUGUUUACUAGGUAUAGGCAGGCCAUCGAAAAUGUGAGCAAUUUUUCAGAAAAUAGUCAUUUUUGUAGACUUUUUUCUUGUAUGGUUGGAAACAUUCAUCACCACCAAAUACAGCAGUAUAAGGAAUCCGUUUGGACAUUGAUUGAUGUCCAAAGAGGAAGGGGAAGAGAUUGAUAAGACUGGUGUUGAGGUUUGUGGCAUUGAUCUGGUCAUGACCUAAGCAGGGGUGUCGAAGGUUAAGGCCGUCAAACAUAGAAAAGGUUUGAUUUGCGCCAAUUUUAGUAUCCUUUAACCUGCAUUAAGGGUGCACUUGUGGCAUUACAAUGAAGUCGACUACCACAAUGAAAGUUAAUUCAAAAUCAUAAGCCACUUCAAUUUUCACAAUGUUACUUAUUGUUGGUUAUUACUUUCUUAAAUGGGUUGUGGUGGACUUGAAAUUUUUUGCAGUAGUUCUUAUUGUCUGUGGACUUCAAAAGUGAUUGCAAUUUUGUUGUCUCUUAACUUUACAUUGGAAAAAAAUAAUAUUAACUUAAUCUUACAUAGAGGAUAAUGUUAAGACCAAUAAAGUGAUGUUAAGGGUGCUGAUCCAGUUGCUGGUGCAGAUGACCGUGUUAUUAUUAUUUCAUCUAAUGAGGUACAUGAUCUCCCUCUCUCUUAGCUUUAUAUGUAGCGUAGUUUUAGUUAGCGUGUUCUUCCAGCAAUUUGAGUUUCUGCAUUUUGUUUAAGGUUUAUGCCUUAAAUUUGAACGUCUUAAGUGUAUACUAAGGAUUAGUGAUGGCAACGGGGCGGGGUAAAUUGCCAUCCCUAAGGAUUAAGAUGGAGUUUGGCUUUAUGUGUUUUCCAAAAUGUCAUCUAAGCUGUUUCACUUGUAUGUCAUUUUUAGGGUCUUGAUGAUGAGAUGGGUGUACUUCUUUUGAUUCACUUAGGCUAAAUCAAGCUUUCAGUUGCAAAAGCUGGAUUUGAGGGUUUUCAGAGGUAUUAACUCGUGAUUUGAAUGAAAUUACUAGAUGGAUAUCUUGUUUGUCAUCUUACUGAAUUCUUGCAAGAUUAAUUAUGAAAGUUUGCUUGUUUUUAAAUUAAAGAAUUUUAGUUGGACUUUUCUUGUUUGUUUUUUCCAUUUUCAAUAAGCAAGUGUCCUAUUUGGCAUCGAAAGAGGAAUUGAAAAAAUAAAGCGACCUGACUUACCAAGACCUGCUGAAGAGGCUCUUGCUCUCGAGGCAGAGGAAGCUAAUCAAGAAGCAUAAUUUUGAUGUACACAAGUUCGUGGAAUUACAGAAGAAAUGCAAAUUACCUGUGCACACGUGUCCCUCUCAAAAAGUAGAUGGGCAUAGUAGAAGAACCAGAGGAUCUUUUACCUGGCCAUUGAAACCAUGUAGUUGCUGCGGCUUCUUCAAUCUUACAUUUUAAAUAUAUUUAGUUUCAGAGUCAACCAAAAGCUCCCAUUUUCUUUGAGGGGGACAUAUUUCUUACAAUUUGUAUAUCCUGCAUCUCCUGAGCUAUUUUUUAUAUAGGGAGUUGUACAAAGAGCCUACUGGAGAUGCAGAAUCUCAGGGAAAAUCAUCAGUGUGGAAAAAUUUGAAGUCUCUUGGAAAUAAUAUCAUUGUUGGCUGGAGGACACUUUUAACUUCUUCUCGAGAAGAUCACUGGAGAUUAGAAGUUCUCCUGUCCAGCAUUGAGGAGGCCGAUGGGUGGUUUUACUCACUACUUAGUUUGUGAUUUUUUUUUUUAUUUUUUUUGGAAAAUGUAUUGGAUUUUUACGUGUUUUAGAAUUUUGGAUCUGAAAUUUGUACGGAUAUUGUUACAUUUUGGAGUUCAAUUAAUAAUGAUUAUCGGAGUUAUUUGAUA